Molecule: long non-coding RNA, 1683 nt
Filed under: Phascolarctos cinereus (koala)
Lineage: Eukaryota; Metazoa; Chordata; Mammalia; Diprotodontia; Phascolarctidae
Description: lncRNA (ENSPCIG00000031706.1)
Source: RNAcentral
UUUGGUUGGUUUGAAGGGUUACCCCAUACAAGAUGGAUUAGAAUUCUUUAUUUUGACUCCAGGAGGUUGGAUAAUAGCACCUGCUUCCCAGGGCUGUUGUGAGGACCAGACGAGUAAAAUCCUUGCAAAGUACUUAGCCCUGCCUAGAACACAUCGAGCUUCACGUAAACGUCAGCUCUGAGUUUCAUUGAGCCCAUAUACCAGACGACCGGCAUUCCCCAGGCCCAGCCAAACGCUCUCCAUGUCUCCUGGUUUCCCUCGGGUCAGUCUCUUUGGCAGACGAAACAAAGCAAACACAGCCUUCCCCUGGCCUGCGUCCCCUUGACCUCUCCUGCUGCCCUGGGCCCACUCCUGUCCUACUCCUCCUGGAAGCAGCCCCAGGGGUCUGAGCCAGUGCUUUGGGCAUCCAGCCCCUGCCCAUGGUUUCCCUACUCUGAGCCUUGGCUUCCCUGCGUGUUUGCGUCACUUCGUGCGUGAAGAUGCCGGCGCACAGGAAGCAUUUCAUUAGAGCCGCGGCCUGUUGUGAUUGGUUGCCGGAGUGGGAGAGACUGGGGGCUGGACUAGCCUCGGAGGAGCCCCAGGGCCCCCGACGUCUGAGACCCCACGCCUGGUGACUCUCCGUGGGCUCUGGGGCUGUGAAGACCACGCACGAGCAGUACAGAAGUGGGAACGUCUGGUCUGAGCAGGGCGGACACCCAGCGUGACCCCUCACUCUCCUGCUUCUCCUCUCCUCCCCCCUCUGCCUUCUGUGGCCUCUGCUCUUGCCCAAGGAGAACAGCCGGGAGGAAGAGGGAAUGGCUUCUGCCCUGACAGCCAGGCCCGGGAAGGGAGCAUUCAGGUGGCCUCCUUGGAUCAUCUGGAAACUGAUCCCUAUUCCCAGGGUGUACUUACGCACAGCAUCAGGAGGUGAGAAACAAGGGCAGCAUCCUUAUAGCUCAGAAUAUGUCCAGUAACCGUGGGUCACACUGUCUAUCCUGAGUGGGGAGUCAUACCUCUUUCCCUCCCUCAGUCCUUCUUCCAUGGCCUGCUAGAUAGGAGAGGGAGAAGAAAUGGUACAGGGUACUAGCAAGAGGAGUUAGGAACAUGUAUGAGGCCUUGUUCCCGUAGGUAGAUGGGCAGAGAUGGGAGAUGAUGCUAAGCCAACAUGGUAAGGGAACUGGAGAUAGUGAGAGAAGUGUUCGUGAACUAUAGAUCCUUUGACAUAUACCUGCAUUGAUGCACCAUUCCCAAUGUGCUUAUAGCCUAUUUGUGCCUGACCUGUGGUAGAGCUUUCUGAGCUCAUAUUGGUCUGAUCAGCCAGUGUUGGGCACACUGUACUUUGACCCUGGCAUAGUGAUGUACACAUUAAGGAUGAUGGGAACAUAGAUGAAAGACACCCACAAGAAAGUGAUUAGAACCCAGGAACACAGAGCCCAGUGGAUUAGCAACCAGCACCUUCAGCUCUCUUCUAUCUUGUCCCAGGCUUCCUUGUCGUCUACAACAUGUAAGAUGGCCUAGUUCAUUCCUCCAAGUAUUCCCUUCACUCAGGAUCAGAGAAUUUAGAAUGGCCCACAAUGAUGAUGUCCUCCAAGCAUUCGUUUUUACAAAUGAAGAAACUGAAGCCAGAGAUGUGUAUUGACAGGGCCAAGCUCACAUACUCAAUCCCUCUUUCUUAUGGUUUAUAGGUUUCUGCUUAUAUUCAAA